Talpa occidentalis (Iberian mole) is the source of this 330-nucleotide small nucleolar RNA. Lineage: Eukaryota; Metazoa; Chordata; Mammalia; Eulipotyphla; Talpidae. The record is from RefSeq and is a predicted model, not a curated record.
GCCACAUGAUGAUAUCAAGGCUGUGGUGAUUCAGUUGGUUUGGCUAAGCCCAGGAGCCUUUGAUCUAUUAAGGUCUGUAAUCUUGGUGGGCAAUACAGAGUUAUGUGUGUUCACUGUAAGGGCAGACCAACAAGAAAUUCUUCCUACUUUUCAGCUACCUCUUUUUAAUAGAGGUGAUUCUUCCAGCUGCCAGUAAGAAAUUAUGGUAACUGGAGUGAAAGGAGGGACAGGGCAUAUGAGUAUAUGGUAUUUGGGUCAAGGGUUCAAAGGACUUAGCCCAUGUAAUGGCCACUGAGAGAUGAAACACAGAUCUUUGGUAAUCUGAUGGCU